Callithrix jacchus (white-tufted-ear marmoset) is the source of this 1149-nucleotide long non-coding RNA. RefSeq lists it as uncharacterized. Lineage: Eukaryota; Metazoa; Chordata; Mammalia; Primates; Cebidae. The record is from RefSeq and is a predicted model, not a curated record.
GACCUCUGCUGUCAAGCUGAGCCUGGCGGGCAGGGGAGGAGGGGGUGUUCCAGACUCUCCUCUAACCCUGUGACAGCACAUCUCAGCGGCUCUUCAUUACUCUUCCAACUUUGAACUGCUGGGGACUUGGCAUGUCACUCUUGUUGCUGUUAAACGUUUAGGACCCUAGAAGUACUUAUAUGUAAAAAAUCGUGUCAGUCUAUGGAAGAAAACUGCAGUGGAUGGGCAUUUACAAAUGAUUAUCUUGUGUGUAAGGGCUUCGAAAACCAUUGCUUCAGCAGCAUACAUACUAAAAAGUUGGAACAAUACAGAGAAGACUAGCAUGGCCCCUGUGCAAGGACGACAAAAAUUCAUGAACUGUUCCAUAUUGAUUUUUUUAAGCCCAUAAGUGGCAAAGUGGAUUGGCCCCUUUAAGAGUGUUGCCGUCAAGGGAGAACUGAAUUUUACAAACAUGCAUGCAAGCAGAUCUCAAGUUAGAGGGUAUGAAGCUGGUCUACACACAUCUUAUUUCUCUGGAUAGAAAGAGCAGCAGGAUCAAACGGGCUUAAGGGUUUGGGGGCGUGUAGCAUUUGCCAAGCUGGUGCCAAGAAUGGAUGUAGGCACGUGGUAGGAGGGGUCAUGGUAGGAGGAGCGGCGAUGCAGGCAUUUUGCGGCACAGGUGUGGAGAUGGUGGGACAGGGGCAGAAGAUCUGAAGGUCCCUGCAAGACCCUCGAUGACGUCAAGCAGCAGCCUGGGCUGCCUACCAUUGCCCCUUGGAUACUUUUUAAUUUGCAUUUGGAAUGGGCAGACUGAGACAGAGAUGCAUGGAUACUCUAUUUUCAUCUGAGAGUAUCCAUCUACUGGAGACACUCCAUCGGCCGUGAAGGGGCACUUUGUAGACCACGCCAAGGGCUUGAACUUAAUUCUCAAGGCCACAGGGCACCUCUGCAAGAUUUGAAAAGUGACAUGUUUAUGUGCUUUAGAAAUAUUUUUCUGGCUGUGAUAAUGGCCCCAGUAAGAGGUGCCUCACCUGCCCUGCUUCCCUGAGAGUUGCUGGGAGGACCAGCAGCAGCAGCGACCGGCACCUGCAGUUCCUGGCAGCAUUUGCAAAGUCCCUCAUGGGUCUUUUCCCACUGGAUCCCAGGAUGGCGAGCGUGAAAUGAGAUCAA